AAACCUAAUCGACUGUCGACCGAUCGACAUCCUCAAAAUCAAAACAUUCAAUUAGGAAUUCCAAACUUCUUCCUCUUUAUUUUUCUCUUCUUAAAAACACCCAUUUCCAUCAAUCUUAGUUGCGUUUGAAUCCAAAUCAGAGACCUACAAUCGCCCAUGACUCCUUUUCGUGAUUUUUUGGCUGAAUCACGUAAUUCGUUUUCUGCAAAUGGUUGCUGAGUUUUUGGAUCUGGUUAUCAAGUGGUAAUAUGUAUUAUACAGUUAAUUGAUUGGUUUUGAAUUACGUUUGCAGGUUGCUUCAUUUUCAUGGAAUUUAGUUACCUAAUUACCUAAUAUGUAUUGAUUGUGUCGUUGCUCGAUGGGUCUGUGGCGGUUGUUCUCUUCAUCAAAGCUAUGUCGUCGGUCAGUUUACCUAAACCCUAAUUUUUCAAUUUCAUGUUCUAAUCUAUGUGACCCCAUAUCGUAAAUAAAUCGAAAUUUGUAUCCAAGUUCUCUAAUUGGUGUUCUGAUGUUUGAAAUUUCAUCCAUUUAUAUCCAACUUUGAGUCGAGCAUCUAUGGGGAAGAUAGAAGUUUGGAAGCCAUGAAUCAAGGGAUUGGUGUUAAUCUUGAUCUCAACUUCUGUUUUUUCUGCUGAUGAUAGUUGAAAGGGGAACGACAAUGUUCAAAAUUGCUUUAGAAGCUUGGCAUGAUCUGAUCGUUGAUUCAAAGAGGAGUAGAACUAUGGUCUUUAAAACGCCUCACUACAUCGAAACUACAUGUUCUCUGGAAUUACCUUGCUGGCCACAAAACCAGUUCUCUAGCUUUUAUUAG
This is a long non-coding RNA of Helianthus annuus (common sunflower), 811 nucleotides long. RefSeq lists it as uncharacterized. The transcript has 4 exons. NCBI's taxonomy places the organism in Eukaryota, Viridiplantae, Streptophyta, Magnoliopsida, Asterales, Asteraceae. The record is from RefSeq and is a predicted model, not a curated record.